GAUGAACGCUGGCGGCGUGCCUAAUACAUGCAAGUCGGGCGAACGGACGAGAAGCUUGCUUUUCUGAUGUUAGCGGCGGACGGGUGAGUAACACGUGGAUAACCUACCUAUAAGACUGGGAUAACUUCGGGAAACCGGAGCUAAUACCGGAUAAUAUUUUGAACCGCAUGGUUCAAAAGUGAAAGACGGUCUUGCUGUCACUUAUAGAUGGAUCCGCGCUGCAUUAGCUAGUUGGUAAGGUAACGGCUUACCAAGGCAACGAUGCAUAGCCGACCUGAGAGGGUGAUCGGCCACACUGGAACUGAGACACGGUCCAGACUCCUACGGGAGGCAGCAGUAGGGAAUCUUCCGCAAUGGGCGAAAGCCUGACGGAGCAACGCCGCGUGAGUGAUGAAGGUCUUCGGAUCGUAAAACUCUGUUAUUAGGGAAGAACAUAUGUGUAAGUAACUGUGCACAUUUUGACGGUACCUAAUCAGAAAGCCACGGCUAACUACGUG
This 497-nucleotide ribosomal RNA is filed under the name uncultured bacterium. RNAcentral's name for it is "partial 16S ribosomal RNA". It matches the Rfam family "Bacterial small subunit ribosomal RNA", at positions 28 to 507 of the family's 1533-position model. The record is from RNAcentral.